This 935-nucleotide ribosomal RNA is filed under the name uncultured fungus. RNAcentral's name for it is "eukaryotic LSU rRNA". The stretch from base 503 to 935 matches the Rfam family "Eukaryotic large subunit ribosomal RNA", at positions 1 to 430 of the family's 3401-position model. Lineage: Eukaryota; Fungi. The record is from RNAcentral.
CCCUUCAUUGGAUAUACUUUAUAAACCCAUUCUGAGUAUCUUACCUGUUGCUUCCAUGAGUCAGUGACUUCGGUCCCUCUAACAAUGGCAUCAGUCAUUUGAAGAGAGUAUUCAUGGAAGGUACACAAUAAACUCUUGUAUUACAAUGUCAUCUGUCUGAUUAUGUUUAUAACAAAUUAUUAAAACUUUCAACAACGGAUCUCUUGGUUCUCGCAUCGAUGAAGAACGCAGCGAAAUGCGAUAAGUAGUGUGAAUUGCAGAAUUCAGUGAAUCAUCGAAUCUUUGAACGCACAUUGCGCCUCCUGGUAUUCCGGGAGGCAUGCCUGUUCGAGCGUCAUUAAAAACCACUCAAGCUCUUUUGCUUGGUAAUGAAAGAAGAGUAUGCUAGUCAUUCUCCCUUUCAAAAUACAAAGGCGGAAAGCCCCAUGUGCCCCGGCGUAGUAAGUUUUCUUUCGCUUGGAACAUGAGGUGAUCCUGCCAUUAACCCCCAAUUUUUCUAGGUUGACCUCGGAUCAGGUAGGGAUACCCGCUGAACUCAAGCAUAUCAAUAAGCGGAGGAAAAGAAACCAACAGGGAUUGCCUUAGUAACUGCGAGUGAAGUGGCAAAAGCUCAAAUUUGAAAUCUGGCGUCUUCGGCGUCCGAGUUGUAAUUUGGAGGGGCAUCUUCGGAGUUGGCGCCGUCCUAAGUUCCUUGGAACAGGACGUCAUAGAGGGUGAGAAUCCCGUGCCUGGAUGGCUGUCCAUCUCCAUGUGAAGUGUCUCCGACGAGUCGAGUUGUUUGGGAAUGCAGCUCAAAAUGGGUGGUAAAUUUCAUCUAAAGCUAAAUAUUGGCGAGAGACCGAUAGCGCACAAGUAGAGUGAUCGAAAGAUGAAAAGCACUUUGAAAAGAGAGUUAAAAAGUACGUGAAAUUGUUGAAAGGGAAGCGCUUGAGACC